GGUGAGGUGUCCGAGUGGCCGAAGGAGCACGCCUGGAAAGUGUGUAAGUCGAAAGGCUUCGAGGGUUCGAAUCCCUCCCUCACCGCCA
Molecule: transfer RNA, 88 nt
Filed under: gamma proteobacterium IMCC2047
Lineage: Bacteria; Pseudomonadati; Pseudomonadota; Gammaproteobacteria
Also listed under: 7 other names
Description: tRNA-Gly
Rfam family: tRNA
About the family: Transfer RNA (tRNA) molecules are approximately 80 nucleotides in length. Their secondary structure includes four short double-helical elements and three loops (D, anti-codon, and T loops).
Source: RNAcentral